GUGCUCGCUUUAGCAGCACUUAUACUAAAAUUGGAACGAUGCAGAGAAGAUUAGCGUGGCCCCCGUGCAGGGGUGACACAAAUUUGUGAAGCAUUCCACAUUUUU
This 105-nucleotide small nuclear RNA is filed under the name Catagonus wagneri (Chacoan peccary). The record is from RNAcentral. Lineage: Eukaryota; Metazoa; Chordata; Mammalia; Artiodactyla; Tayassuidae.